GUGAGCUGUGUGACACAGAAUCUGCAGAGGUGGGGAAGGCCAUGGCCAAGGCUCUGUCAUUUUGAUAGAGUUUUGGAAAAGAUGUCUCUUGUCUCUGCUAUUCUUGGGAAAGUGAUGUGUGAAAUGAAAGCAAAACAGUAUAUCGGUAAAAUAGGCACUCUCCACAGGGGUUUGAAAGCCACCUUAGUAGAUAAUGUAACAACAAUGUGGCACAGUACAUAAUCUAAAGCAAGGAAAAGCACUUACAUUUGCCUCUGUGGAAGCAACCAACAAGGCCGUGGGAAAAUGAAUAGCACAAGGCAGACACACAAACCCCUGGGAAA
Molecule: long non-coding RNA, 323 nt
Filed under: Homo sapiens (human)
Lineage: Eukaryota; Metazoa; Chordata; Mammalia; Primates; Hominidae
Description: non-protein coding lnc-C7orf33-4:1
Source: RNAcentral